CCUACGGGAGGCUGCAGUGGGGAAUAUUGGACAAUGGGGGGAACCCUGAUCCAGCCAUGCCGCGUGUGUGAAGAAGGCCCUCGGGUUGUAAAGCACUUUCAGUGAGGAAGAACGCCUGGUGGUUAAUACCCAUCAGGAAAGACAACACUCACAGAAGAAGCACCGGCUAACUCCGUGCCAGCAGCCGCGGUAAUACGGAGGGUGCGAGCGUUAAUCGGAAUUACUGGGCGUAAAGCGCGCGUAGGUGGCUUGAUAAGCCGGUUGUGAAAGCCCCGGGCGCAACCUGGGAACGGCAUCCGGAACUGUCAAGCUAGAGUGCAGGAGAGGAAGGUAGAAUUCCCGGUGUAGCGGUGAAAUGCGUAGAGAUCGGGAGGAAUACCAGUGGCGAAGGCGGCCUUCUGGACUGACGCUGACACUGAGGUGCGAAAGCGUGGGUAGCAAACAGGAUUAGAUACCCUAGUAGUC
This 465-nucleotide ribosomal RNA is filed under the name Vreelandella stevensii. RNAcentral's name for it is "partial 16S ribosomal RNA". It matches the Rfam family "Bacterial small subunit ribosomal RNA", at positions 338 to 795 of the family's 1533-position model. Lineage: Bacteria; Pseudomonadati; Pseudomonadota; Gammaproteobacteria; Oceanospirillales; Halomonadaceae. The record is from RNAcentral.